This 1995-nucleotide long non-coding RNA is filed under the name Paramuricea clavata. The record is from RNAcentral. Lineage: Eukaryota; Metazoa; Cnidaria; Anthozoa; Malacalcyonacea; Plexauridae.
GUCGUAAGCGGUAAGUUUAUGAUGAUAUUAGAAUGACCAUGUUGCUAUAAACGCUAUAAGAAAGGUACGUUUUAGUUUAGACCUUUAGCCAAUUACUAUAUAAGAUUCUUAAUAUACGAUUCUAUACGAUUCUUAAUGAAAUGUUUAUCAGACAUCUGUAGAUCAGUAUUAUAAACAUAUCGAGGAUGUGCUUCAAUGCGGAUGCAUGCAUUAAGACUGUCUGUAUAUCUGUGAGCACUUUGAACGUAAAUGCUGGUUCAGUAGGUUCAUUUAGUUGAAUAGUUGAAAUUAUUUAUGUUAUUAAAGCUUCUUGUCGGUAGAAUGGUAGAUAGGAAGGUACAAUUUUCGAAUACACUAGCAACGCGACCAUGAAUUAGCCACUUGGAACGGAAAUUAGGAACGGAAAUUAAUUCGCUAAAUCUUAAACAAUGAAUGAAUGGUUGGAAGAGGUUAAUAUAUUCAUGAAAAAAAAACCAACGCUGCGUUGUCAAUAUAAAGUUGAUUCAAGCGGGUUUUGAACUCGCAUAUUCACCGAACCGGGCAGAUGCUUGACCAAUUGAGCUAUCGAGUCAAUAGGGAGAGCACAAGUUCAAAUCCACACUUAAGCAAUGAGAUAUUCUCGCGACUUGCCUGGCAACAGUGUUUCAAUUCUAUUCCGGGGAAAUAUAAUACAAUGUAAUCAUUACUUGCCUAUUAUUUACUUUAGGACACUUCUUCUCAAAACUUUUUACAUGUACUCAACCACCAUUGACAAUGAAUGCUUCCAUGCAUGAUUGCAUGGAGGAGGCUAUAUAUAUUGCAGGUCUUUAAAUGGGGAAUGUUCCCCUGGGGAGGGCAUUCAUGAACUCUGGUUGAAGUGAGCUGCUAAAACUGACUAUUUUCAUCAACUUUGGCUGAAAGUGCAUUUUGAAAAGUUAUAAUCUAUUGUUUGUGCUUCGUAGACCGUGUCUUGUUUUGAAUAUAUUUUGAAACCAAUUUAUAUGGAAGCCUAUAUCGUUUUAAUAAUAAGUCUAUCACUGUCUUGGGUUACUACUAAUUAUGCAUGAUUCUCAACUCUGACAUGAAUUUGACACCAUUUUCUCGAGCUUUGUUCCCCAUUGUAUGUGAACCAUUUAUCAAACCAUUUGUGAAGCACAAUGUUUGGCAUCACAUGACCCCUGGCCUUUUCUGGAGUUUCAAUAUUUCUCUAAUAUUUUUCUAGAUAGUCAGGUUAACAAAAGGAAAUCAAAUGGCUUAGAUCGAUUUUACUCAGUACACAAUGGCUGCGAAACCGUUUUCUAAAGAGGAAUUGAACUUCUUUAAGUUUUCUAAACUUGUUAUUCACGAGUUCCCCAAGGUCAUACGUCAAAUUUUUAUCAUCAUGUGGGACAGUAGGGUUGCUAUAAAACCAGGAUAUAUUACCUGGGAUGAUAGCACCAAGGUACGAAAUAUGCUAUUUAAAUCUGAGGGUGGUAAAACUGAUAUACCAACUACGAAAUCAAUUGAUGAAUGGGACUGCACAACUUUAUUUAAAGCAACAAUCUAUGCCAAAACAUUUGGUGUUCCAAGCAGCAAGGGAUCAACUUUAAAUGAUUUAUAUUUGAAAAAAGUGAAACCACUUCCAGGUUCUUUUCAUUCAUCCGUUCAAAGUUCAACGGGAAAACAAGAUGAAACUUAUACCUUGGCAAUUGAUCAGUUGCGGUUGUUGAGAAACAAACUUUGCCAUUUACCCAAAACUGAAAUAAUUAAAACUGAUUUUGAUAAUUAUGUACUCUUAGUAAAAGACGCUUUAUCAGCGGUUAACAUUGAUACCGCUUUUGUUGAUGCUAUUGGUCAGAUGAACGAGGAUGAUUUCCCUACAGAGAAAGUUAAAGAAUUAGAAGAAUGUCGCAUUAAGGAGUUACAAGCCACCAGUAUGUUUCAUGAGAAUUUGGAGCACGCAAUAUCUUCUAUUGAGGAGAAAAUUGACAGAAUGAUGAGCGGCAAAAGUUUGGAGGAGAAGGCAAAUGUGCCAGG